CGCGUAGGCGGCUUGGCAAGUCAGAUGUGAAAUCCCCGAGCUUAACUUGGGAAUUGCAUCUGAAACUGUUGAGCUUGAGUCCUGGAGGGGAUAGUGGAAUUCCCAGUGUAGCGGUGAAAUGCGUAGAUAUUGGGAGGAACACCUGUGGCGAAGGCGGCUAUCUGGACAGUGACUGACGCUGAGGCGCGAAAGCUAGGGGAGCGAACG
RNAcentral lists this ribosomal RNA (207 nucleotides) under uncultured bacterium. RNAcentral's name for it is "partial 16S ribosomal RNA". It matches the Rfam family "Bacterial small subunit ribosomal RNA", at positions 568 to 774 of the family's 1533-position model. The record is from RNAcentral.